CACAAAAGCAAGUGUUAAAGCAGCAUGGAAAACAGAGACAAACAGAGGAGAAGUUCCUCAGUGGAUGCGGUUUGUCCCAUGUCUUCCUGUAAAGUAAAUCCAAUCACAAUAGCAAGCAAAAGCAGAAUCAAGAACAGACACAGAUAGACACAACCAUACACAGAAGGAGGAACAAGAUCAAUAUACAUGUCCUCCACUAUGAGGACCUUCAGAAGGGGGUCAAGGCGUCCCUUGAUGAUCCUGGCCUUAGAGAGCUCCUGCAUCCAGCUUCUCUCUGUCUCAGGCCCACAA
Long non-coding RNA from Perognathus longimembris pacificus (Pacific pocket mouse), 291 nucleotides. RefSeq lists it as uncharacterized. The transcript is spliced from 4 exons. NCBI's taxonomy places the organism in Eukaryota, Metazoa, Chordata, Mammalia, Rodentia, Heteromyidae. The record is from RefSeq and is a predicted model, not a curated record.